Molecule: ribosomal RNA, 1352 nt
Filed under: uncultured marine eukaryote
Lineage: Eukaryota
Description: SSU rRNA
Rfam family: Eukaryotic small subunit ribosomal RNA
Source: RNAcentral
CUCCUCUAAGGAAUGAAGUAGGCGCGUAUUUUACCCACUCCUGACACAGGGAGGAAGUGACUAAAAAUAACCACGCCGGGCCUUUGGCCUUGCAAUUGGAAUGAGUACAAUUUAAAUCCCUUAACGAGGAUCAAAUGAAGGGCAAGUCUGGUGCCAGCAGCCGCGGUAAUUCCAGCUCCCCUCGCGUAUAUUAAUGUUGUUGCAGUUAACAAGCUCGUACUUGGAUUUCUGACAUGAGCGACCGGUCCGAGCAUUCGUGUUCGUGUUACUUGAGUUGUCUCUCGCCAUCCUUAUAGAGAACAAAUGUCGGCAUUCAGUUGUUGCGCUUGGGACCUAUAUCCCCUACUGUGAAAAAAUAAUAGUGUUCUCAGCACGCCAUCGCUGUGAAUAUCUUAUCAUGGAAUAAUAAGAUAGGACUAUGGUACUAUUUUGUUGGUCUGCAUCCCAAAGAAAUGAUCAAUAGGGACAGCUGGGGGUAUUCGUACUUACAUAUCAGAGGUGAAAUUCUUGGAUUUUGUACAGGCGAACUACUGCGAAAGCAUUUACCACUGGAUGUUUUUCUUUCAUCUAUAACGACAGUUAGGGGAUCGAACAUGAUUAGAUACCAUCGCUACCUUAACCUUAAACUAUGCCGACUAGGGAUUAGCUGGACGUUAAUUUUAUAUGACUUCGUUAGCACCUUAUGAGAAAUCAAAGUCUUUUGGGUUCCGGGGGGAGUAUGGUCGCAAGGCUGGAGCUGAAAGGAAUUGACGGACGGGCACGCUAGGAGUGGAGCCUGCGGCUUAUAAUUGAGUCAGCACGGGAAAGCUUACCAGGUCCGGACAUAGUGAUGAGUGGCUGUUUGAAGGUCUUUCUUGAUUGUAGGGGUGGUGGUGCAUGGCCGUCUUUAGUUGGUUGAGUGAUUAAUUGGGUUAAUUCCGUUAACGAAGGAGGCCUCGACUUAGUAAAUAGUUCGACGAAUUCUUCUGGAUUCGUGCGGGACUUCUUAGAGGGACUAUCUGUGGUUAGCCGAUGGAAGUUAAAGGCAAUAGCAGGUCUGUGAUGGCCUUAGAUGUUCUGGGCAGCACGCGCGGUACACUGAUGGGUUCAUCGAGAGUACAGCCGGGACUGGUAGGUCUGGAUAGUAAUUUGAAUGCCAGUCGUGUAGGUGAAAGAAUAUUGUUAUUUUUAUAUCGGAGACGAGAAAUUCGUGGUAAGCGCGAGUCAGCAACUCGCAUUAAUUGUGUCCCUUCAAGGUGUACACACCGUCCGUAUUUAAAAAAGAUUGGAUGGAAGAGUGAGCUCUCUGGAUUGUGGCACCCCCGUCGGUAAGUUCGGAGGGGGUACGGGAAGGAGAUCAAACUUACCUGGAG